This 433-nucleotide ribosomal RNA is filed under the name uncultured bacterium. RNAcentral's name for it is "partial 16S ribosomal RNA". It matches the Rfam family "Bacterial small subunit ribosomal RNA", at positions 29 to 507 of the family's 1533-position model. The record is from RNAcentral.
AACGAACGCCGGCGGCAUGCCUAACACAUGCAAGUCGAACGAGACCUUCGGGUCUAGUGGCGCACGGGUGCGUAACGCGUGGGAACCUGCCCUUAGGUUCGGCAUAACUCCCCGACAGGGGUGCUAAUACCGGAUAAUGUCUUCGGACCAAAGAUUUAUCGCCUUUGGAUGGGCCCGCGUUGGAUUAGCUAGUUGGUAGGGUAAAAGCAUACCAAGGCGACGAUCCAUAGCUGGUCUGAGAGGAUGAUCAGCCACACUGGGACUGAGACACGGCCCAGACUCCUACGGGAGGCAGCAGUGGGGAAUAGUGGAAAAUGGGCGAAAGGCUGAUCCAGCAAUGCCGCGUGAGUGAUGAAGGCCUUAGGGUUGUAAAGCUCUUUUAACCGGGAUGAUAAUGACAGUACCGGGAGAAUAAGCUCCGGCUAACUCCGUG